RNAcentral lists this ribosomal RNA (253 nucleotides) under uncultured bacterium. RNAcentral's name for it is "partial 16S ribosomal RNA". It matches the Rfam family "Bacterial small subunit ribosomal RNA", at positions 524 to 776 of the family's 1533-position model. The record is from RNAcentral.
UACGAAGGGUGCAAGCGUUACUCGGAAUUACUGGGCGUAAUGCGUGCGUAGGUGGUUUGUUAAGUCUGAUGUGAAAGCCCCGGGCUCAACCUGGGAACUGCAGUGGAAACUGGCAAGCUAGAGUGUGUCAGAGGAUGGUGGAAUUCCCGGUGUAGCGGUGAAAUGCGUAGAGAUCGGGAGGAACAUCAGUGGCGAAGGCGGCCAUCUUGGACAACACUGACGCUGAGGCACGAAAGCGUGGGGAGCAAACAGG